RNAcentral lists this long non-coding RNA (1430 nucleotides) under Nicotiana tabacum (common tobacco). RNAcentral describes it as "long non-coding RNA (NTAB_LNC007660)". The record is from RNAcentral. Lineage: Eukaryota; Viridiplantae; Streptophyta; Magnoliopsida; Solanales; Solanaceae.
AUUCGAGGCGUUCGUAGGCCGAUUCGCAAGGCAAGGGCUUAUUGGAGUAGAGAUUUGCACGGUUUGAGGUAAGUAACAUUCUAAACUUGGUUUUGAAGGCAUGAAUCCUGAAUUUCGUGUUAUGUGAUUAGUGUUGAGGUGACACACAUACUAGGUGACAGGCGUGUGGGCGUGCACCGUAGUAAUUAUGACUUAGUCGAUUUCGUGGGACUGUGUAGUCACCUUAUCUGAAUAUUAUUACUAAACUCUGUGUUGGAGAACUUGAGCUGUCAAUUUUGUUAGAAAUCAUGUUUAGGCUAUGAGCUGGUACUAUCGGGACCCACAAUGGUCGUUCUUUUGUUAAGAUUAUUUUUCUAAUUUGCAGUUACGUACUCAGUCACAUUUAUCAUUGUAUAUCAUAUAUCAGUCUCUGUAUCAUUUAUUAUCAUAUCAUGUAUCGUUGAUUUGGGCUGCUUAGCAUGAGUGUGGUGAGUUGAUGACUGAGUUGGGGCAUGAGAGUCGUGCUAUGAGUGAAUUAUGUGGAUCGGGUUGCAUGCCUCAACAAGCCUUAUGUCUAUAUGUGGAUCGUGUUGCACGCUGCAACAAGCCUUAUGACUAUAUGUGGAUCGGAUUGCACGACGCAAUAAGCCUUAUGGCUAUAUGUGGAUCGGGUUGUGCGCCGUGACAGGCCUUUUGGCUAUAUGUGGAUCGGGCUGCAUGCCGCAACAGAUACCGUAUAGUGCUGAGUGACUGAGUGUGACGAGCGAGAAUUAAGACAGUCAGAUUGAGUGCUCUGAGAGUAAAAAUACUUGAAGUUUCAUUGUGUUGCAUCACAUACGGUAUUCAUAUUGGCAUGUAGAUAUAGACAUGUCAUAUUCAUCAUAUUAGUCACACUUGGUAUAUUUUAUCCGUGUUGAGCUUAAUUGUUAAACCUAGAAGCAUGUCAACAUUUUCUGUAUUCUUAAAUUCUUUACUUUUACUGUAUUAUUUGAGCUCGUCACUGCUUUCAGCCCAAAUGUUAGACUUGUUACUUAUUGAGUUGGUUGCAUCACAUACGGUAUUCAUUUUCACAUUCUUGUAUUCUUGUCGUGCAAAUCUGUUUAUUCCAGAAACUAAACUUCUGUUGUCUAUUCUCUCAUAGAUGGUGAAGAAACGUGCUGCCGGAUCGGGCGGAUGACCACCAGUACCACCCUCUAGGGCCACGGAACGCCGAGGUCGCGGUAGAGGCCGAGGUGCAACUCGUACAACAGCUAGAGCAACACCUGUAGACCCACCAGUUGUUCCAGCUCAAGAGCAGAUCAUUUUGAUUCCAAGCCUUCAGGAGGCUCUGGCCUAGAUAUUGACUGUUUGCAUUAGCCUUGCUCAGACAGCUUUAGUUCCGCAGCCACUUCUCAGGCCGGGGGAGGUGCUCAGACACCUGCUGCCUAUACUCAUGGACUUCAGACACCGAG